UAGGGAAUCUUCCGCAAUGGACGCAAGUCUGACGGAGCAACGCCGCGUGAGUGAAGAAGGAUUUCGGUUCGUAAAACUCUGUUGUUAGAGAAGAACAGCGCAUAGAGUAACUGUUAUGCGUGUGACGGUAUCUAACCAGAAAGCCACGGCUAACUACGUGCCAGCAGCCGCGGUAAUACGUAGGUGGCAAGCGUUGUCCGGAUUUAUUGGGCGUAAAGCGAGCGCAGGCGGUCAAUUAAGUCUGAUGUGAAAGCCCCGGGCUCAACCGGGGAGGGUCAUUGGAAACUGGUUGACUUGAGUGCAGAAGAGGAGGGUGGAAUUCCAGGUGUAGCGGUGAAAUGCGUAGAUAUAUGGAGGAACACCAGUGGCGAAGGCGACUCUCUGGUCUGUAACUGACGCUGAGGCUCGAAAGCGUGGGUAGCAAACAGG
This 429-nucleotide ribosomal RNA is filed under the name Bacteroidota bacterium. RNAcentral's name for it is "Bacteroidetes bacterium partial 16S ribosomal RNA". It matches the Rfam family "Bacterial small subunit ribosomal RNA", at positions 355 to 776 of the family's 1533-position model. The record is from RNAcentral. Lineage: Bacteria; Pseudomonadati; Bacteroidota.